RNAcentral lists this ribosomal RNA (229 nucleotides) under uncultured bacterium. Its description in RNAcentral is "partial 16S ribosomal RNA". It matches the Rfam family "Bacterial small subunit ribosomal RNA", at positions 568 to 796 of the family's 1533-position model. The record is from RNAcentral.
UGCGUAGGCGGACUAAUAAGUCAGUGGUGAAAUCUCUCUGCUCAACCGGGAAACUGCCAUUGAUACUGUUAGUCUUGAGUUCGGUUGAGUUAGGCGGAAUGUGUAAUGUAGCGGUGAAAUGCUUAGAUAUUACACAGAACACCAAUUGCGUAGGCAGCUUACUAGACCGACACUGACGCUGAGGCACGAAAGCGUGGGUAGCGAACAGGAUUAGAUACCCUGGUAGUCC